GGGAGGGGGUCCCGUGAUGGGAUCAGUCAGAUGCCCGCCUGGCUGCUCCCCCUGAGGGGACUUAGGCUCCUCUUCGCAUUGGCAGACCGGUAUAAACCCCCGGCUCAGAUGGAGCUAUGCCAGAUGCUGCCUUAAGCCGUAUGAGGUCGCCACGGAACAGUAGGUGCAGGGAAAUGUGUGAAGUCUGGCUGCAGUGCCCAAGAGAUAAGAAUCUUCUAAGCUGGCUGUUGUCCAGACUUGCCAUCCUCAUUGUAGUAAAACACUGGCCAGGAAGACAAAAGUGCAUCUGUGAAAGGAAACAGAAAGUCAUCUGGUCUUCAGGGAAAGGAGGAUUUCAAUUUUUCCUCUGGGCCCAGGACUAAGGAGCCGGCGCACAUGCAGGAGCCACCAGUGGCACAGGAGCAGUUGGGGUCCAUUUCGAGCAAAGGAGAUGCUGGAGCUCCCACCGGUGAGGCCAACAAGCAGUCAGGCAGUUGGAAAGCAUGCUGCCUUUUUCAUUCUUAAGUUCCAGUUCCACAGUGAAGCUGGUCUGACCAUAGUCACAGAGACAAUAAACCCUAAAGACUUAUGAUCAG
Homo sapiens (human) is the source of this 575-nucleotide long non-coding RNA. Lineage: Eukaryota; Metazoa; Chordata; Mammalia; Primates; Hominidae. The record is from Ensembl.